Molecule: long non-coding RNA, 182 nt
Filed under: Ictidomys tridecemlineatus (thirteen-lined ground squirrel)
Lineage: Eukaryota; Metazoa; Chordata; Mammalia; Rodentia; Sciuridae
Description: lncRNA (ENSSTOG00000029508.1)
Rfam family: Taurine upregulated gene 1 conserved region 3 (bases 76-182)
About the family: TUG1 (taurine upregulated gene 1) is a long non-coding RNA expressed in retina and brain.
Source: RNAcentral
AUGGACUCCAGAUUUUCAAGAACUGGACCUGCAACCCAGAAGAGCUUGUCAGGAUGUGGCAGGAAUUCUGGAGUCCUGUGCCUCCUGAUUGCUGAGUGUUCGCCUGGACCUUCUGACCACCUUCCUUCUGCUAGACCAUCAGCCUACAGACCUGGUACCUGGAUUUUUGCUCAUGGUGAUUC